Molecule: unclassified non-coding RNA, 148 nt
Organism: Pongo abelii (Sumatran orangutan)
Lineage: Eukaryota; Metazoa; Chordata; Mammalia; Primates; Hominidae
Rfam family: Metazoan signal recognition particle RNA
About the family: The signal recognition particle (SRP) is a universally conserved ribonucleoprotein. It is involved in the co-translational targeting of proteins to membranes.
Source: Ensembl
GCUGGGUGUGUUGGCACACACUUGUAAUCCUAGCUACUGAGGAGGCUGAGGCAGGAGAAUUGCUUGAACCCAGGAGGCAGAGGUUGCAGUGAGCCAAGAUCGUGCCACUGCACUCCAGCCUGGGUGACAGAGCAAGACUCUGUCUCAA